AUUGAACGCUGGCGGCAUGCCUAACACAUGCAAGUCGAACGGCAGCAUGGUGCAGUUUACUGUACUGAUGGCGAGUGGCGGACGGGUGAGUAACGCGUAGGAAUACACCUUUAGGACUGGGACAACUUGUGGAAACGCGAGCUAAUACCGGAUAAUAUCUGAGGAUAAAAGCUGGGGACCUUAGGGCCUGGCGUCUAGAGAGUAGCCUACGUCUGAUUAGGUAGUUGGUGGGGUAAGGGCCUACCAAGGCGACGAUCGGUAGCUGGUCUGAGAGGAUGGACAGCCACACUGGGACUGAGAGACGGCCCAGACUCCUACGGGAAGCAGCAGUGGGGAAUAUUGGACAAUGGGGGGAACCCUGAUCCAGCCAUGCCGCGUGUGUGAAGAAGGCCUUAUGGUUGUAAAGCACUUUAAGCGAGGAGGAGGCUACUCUAGUUAAUACCUAGGGAUAGUGGACGUUACUCGCAGAAUAAGCACCGGCUAACUCUGUGCCAGCCGCCGCUGUAA
RNAcentral lists this ribosomal RNA (507 nucleotides) under uncultured bacterium. RNAcentral's name for it is "partial 16S ribosomal RNA". It matches the Rfam family "Bacterial small subunit ribosomal RNA", at positions 30 to 523 of the family's 1533-position model. The record is from RNAcentral.